AUCAUUUAUUGGUUGGGACCUACUUUCAAUACAUGGACGUCAACAAGAAAGAUUGUUAAACAAUAGUUCAUAGAACGAAAUAAAUACGGCAGAAAUGAAAUUAAUUAGUGUUUAUAUGAGGUAUCUAGGGAGGAAUGUGUUAAUGACGAUUUUCGGCCAGUGAUGAUAGAAAGCGUACCAAUGGGAUUGAUGAGAAGAACCAGGCCAACUCAUCAACAGCAGCAAUCAUUGGUGUCAAUGUCGUGGAAAGCGUCGUAGACUUCAAUUGUACAGCAGCGAACGUAAAUGCAUCAGGACGAAUUCGAAUGCUUCCAGAACCCAAUCUUCCAGAACCUACAUGUCGUUUUUCAACGGCACCUACGAUGGAAACUACUGGACAAACCACAUCAUAACAGUUUGAGUAAUCGUUUGGUGUAGCUAACUUCUUCAGUACGCAUGCGUCUUAUUGUAUAUAUGUUUGGUCAUUAGAAAAAUAAUACAAACCAAGUUAAGCGAUCAACAUUGUUUUGUUAAACAAUAGUUGUGCAAUAGCACAACGGAAAUAUUGUUCUAUCCUUUUUUUACUAUGAAGUUAAUUAAACAUGGACCCAGCGGUAACGCAAGUAACGCCAAACAAACACGGCAUACAAAAACAGUUACAGAAUUUAGUUGGUUAUACAUCAGUAUGAAUAUUUUUACAGUGAUAAACAUAACACAUCUGAAUGCUAUUCUCGACAUAUGUGCAUGUAUCUGGUCAAUUACUGUUUUGUUAUGCAAUACCAUAAGAACUUCUAUAUUUGCUUUAACUAAUUUAAUUCUUCAUUUCUUAAAAUUUGUUUCAUAUUCAUUAACAGACAAAAACACCAUUUUUGAAAAAGGCUUAUUUUGAAAGAGAAAUAUACAUUAUGUUAUUUGGUAUGCAUGUUUCUUGUAUGCAAUGUUCAAAAGUAUUUAUUUUUGUCCGUAGUAUUCGCAUAUACAUGUAUUUAUUGUACGCUGUUUUGCUGUUUACAUGAAACAUAUUUUUUGUAAGGCAGAAUUUAACGUUUUGACAUUACAUUUGUUAUUAAAGGGAAUUAACUAGAAUAUAGAAAAAUAUCCAAAUUCGCUCAUUCGCCUAACGCACUACAAUCGCUAUUUAAAAAUUUGGAAAAUUACUGCAACGAGUGGAAACUUACAGUUAAUACAAAAAAGACAAAAAUAAUGAUUUUUGAGAAAGGUAGACAUACACGAUAUGAUUUUACAUUAAAUAACACAAUAUUAGAUAUUGUCGAUUCAUUUAAAUAUUAAGGGGUAAAUCUUUACAAAAACGGAGACUGGAACCGUACGCAAAAACAUAUCGCUCAAAAUUCACAAUUCGCAUAACACAAUUUGUUUACAGUAUUUAAUCAACUGGAAUUAACUAUAAACGAAAAGUGUAGACUGAUUGACAAUCUAGAUGGGUCCAAAUUAAAUUACGCAGCCGAAACAUGGGGCUUUCAUGAAGGAAAAGAUAUCGAACGCAUUCAUUGUAAAUUUCUUCGUAAGAUACUUAAAGACAGAAAAUCCACACACCUAGAAGGACUUUACGGGGAACUAGGCAGAUAUCCAAUGUAUGUAAAACACCAAUUGACAUAAGUUAAAUACUGGGUAAAAAUCAUUGCUCCGAACAACAACAUACUUACAAAAUCUAUUUAUAAUUUGCUUAAGAGCGAUUCUGAACGUAAUAAUACAUAUACCGGCAAGAACUGGGCUUAUCAGAUUAAAGAACUACUCGAACACAUUGGAUUAGCUAUCAUAUGGACUCAACAACAUACGAAUACCCCAAACGAAUACGAGCUAAACAUAAUAACAAAUCGAAUUUUGGAUAUAUAUAUAUAUACAGACUUGGUUCUAAAAUAUAAACAACUCAAAUUAACUGUCAGCAUACCGAUAUUUCAAUUAUGACUUUGAAACGGAAAAAUAUUUAAAAUGCAUUAAUAACAAAAAAAAUUAGAAUAUCGCUUACACAAUUCAGAAUCUCUGCACAUAAUCUAGCCAUAGAAAAAGGUCGUCAUGAAAACAUACCAAAAGAAAAUAGGAAGUGUAUUUACUUCAAUAUGAUUGCUAUAGAAAGCGAAUUUCACUUUUUAUUAGUAUGCCCCCUAUAUAAAGAAAUUAGACAACAAUACCUAAAACCAUGCUUUCGUAAUUGGCCAACAUUGAACAAAUACGAAAUUAUAAUGUCAUCAAAAUCAACAAAGGAACUUAAUAACCUAUCAAAAUAUGUUUAUUUUUCUCUCAAACUAAGGUAAAAUGUAACGUAGUAUAAAAUAUAUGCUGUUAACGCCUCCAUUUUUGUAUGUCUAUUAAAACAGAUACAAUAAUAAGUGAAUCGUAUUAACUAUGAUUAUUAUUUAUGUUUGCCUACUGUUUAAAAUAUUUAGGAGAUCGAAUGACUGUAUUGGAUAGAGUAAAAGUGAUCAACUUGUGCGAUUAUUUUAUAUUAUGUUGACUAUUUGUAAUGAAGAAGAUCACUUCUUUGUAUUAUUUUCAAAAUUUGAAAAUGUAAUUGCAUUGUUAUCAUUAUCAAUUAGAAUAUUCUAAAGGUAUUCGUUUUGUUUUUAUUAUCAAUUAGAAUAUUCAAUUUA
Long non-coding RNA from Dreissena polymorpha, 2588 nucleotides. RefSeq lists it as uncharacterized. Lineage: Eukaryota; Metazoa; Mollusca; Bivalvia; Myida; Dreissenidae. The transcript has 5 exons. The record is from RefSeq and is a predicted model, not a curated record.